Molecule: ribosomal RNA, 450 nt
Filed under: uncultured bacterium
Lineage: Bacteria
Description: bacterial SSU rRNA
Rfam family: Bacterial small subunit ribosomal RNA
Source: RNAcentral
AAUGAACGCUGGCGGCAUGCCUAACACAUGCAAGUCGAACGAGACCUUCGGGUCUAGUGGCGCACGGGUGCGUAACGCGUGGGAAUCUGCCCUUGGGUUCGGAAUAACAGCGAGAAAUUGCUGCUAAUACCGGAUGAUGACGUAAGUCCAAAGAUUUAUCGCCCAAGGAUGAGCCCGCGUAGGAUUAGCUAGUUGGUGAGGUAAAGGCUCACCAAGGCGACGAUCCUUAGCUGGUCUGAGAGGAUGAUCAGCCACACUGGGACUGAGACACGGCCCAGACUCCUACGGGAGGCAGCAGUGGGGAAUAUUGGACAAUGGGCGAAAGCCUGAUCCAGCAAUGCCGCGUGAGUGAUGAAGGCCUUAGGGUUGUAAAGCUCUUUUACCCGGGAUGAUAAUGACAGUACCGGGAGAAUAAGCUCCGGCUAACUCCGUGCCAGCAGCCGCGGUAAU